CCUACGGGUGGCAGCAGUGGGGAAUAUUGCACAAUGGGGGAAACCCUGAUGCAGCGACGCCGCGUGGGUGAAGAAGGACUUCGGCGUGUAAAGCGCUAUCAGCAGGGAAGAACAUGACGGUACCUGAGAAAGAAGCCCCGGCUAACUCCGUGCCAGCAGCCGCGGUAAUACGUAGGGGGAAAGCGUUCUCCGGAUUUACUGGUUGUAAAGGGAGCGUAGACGGCGGUGCAAGACUGGAGUGAAAGGCGGGGCCCAACCCCCGGACUGCGUGGGAGACUGGUCGGCUGGAGGGCAGGAGGGGGAAGUGGAAUUCCUGGUGUAGCGGUGAAAUGCGUAGAUAUUAGGAGGAACACCAGUGGCGAAGGCGGCCUACUGGACUGUAACUGACGUUAAGGCGCGAAAGCGUGGGGAGCAAACAGGAUUAGAUACCCUUGUAGUC
RNAcentral lists this ribosomal RNA (439 nucleotides) under uncultured bacterium. Its description in RNAcentral is "partial 16S ribosomal RNA". It matches the Rfam family "Bacterial small subunit ribosomal RNA", at positions 338 to 795 of the family's 1533-position model. The record is from RNAcentral.